GAUCCAGCCAAUCCCCCUUUCUCUCCCUCCAGCUCCCCACCGGCCCCUCCCGGCCUAGGUCCGUGACCGGGAGGUCGGAGCCACGGACGCUGAUACCGGUGACCCCGGGUCCUGGAGUGGGAGAGGGGGAGCGAGGAGGGACAGCGCUGGCCACGGGGCUGGGGUUUGGCAUCCCCUGCCUCCGGCUUGGAAAUAGAGCCAUUUUAACCGGAAGCAGGAACCUCGGGACUGCUGCUUGAGAUGGAGGUGCCAAAGCAGUUGGGAGAAAGGAAAGUUUCUCGGCGCACUGGUCCUGCCCCGCCCCGGGAAACUGAGGCACAGAGCGAGGACGGGCCCCGCCAGGAUCCUGCAGACCAGGAGGCUCCCUUCCCCUUGGACCGGGAAAGGGACCCAGGGCCCCGAGGGCCGACGCGGUCCCUUUUCCGAAGCUUUGAGCUCCGGCCGCUCGAAGAGAGGGAGUGAAGGAUGGAAGGAAGGAAGGAGGCCGAGGGAAUCUCCGUCCCGCUGGAACUCGCCGAAUCGUGGGGAAUCAGAAGCAGCGAGGCCCAGCGGCCGGAGCCCGGGAGCGGGAAGGACCCGGCUUCUCACCCCACUCCGC
Ornithorhynchus anatinus (platypus) is the source of this 598-nucleotide long non-coding RNA. RefSeq lists it as uncharacterized. The record is from RefSeq and is a predicted model, not a curated record. The transcript has 3 exons. Lineage: Eukaryota; Metazoa; Chordata; Mammalia; Monotremata; Ornithorhynchidae.